Molecule: long non-coding RNA, 684 nt
Organism: Prunus mume (Japanese apricot)
Lineage: Eukaryota; Viridiplantae; Streptophyta; Magnoliopsida; Rosales; Rosaceae
Source: RefSeq, a predicted model, not a curated record
AAUGAAUAACUAAACAAUCUGAAUCUUUAGUAUGAUUUCUUGUCCUCAUAGUUAGUUAUAUGAAAACCUACUAUUGGAUUGGCUUCAGUAUGGAUUGACCCAAAUUAGAUCCAUAUCAGUCCAAAUGAACAAAGAAUAAGAAGACGAUGUUUUUUUUCUUUUCAUCGUCAGUCCUUGUUGCAGACAGAGGGAAAGCAUAUACGGAACGUAUUGGCUGAGAGAUCUUCCAUAAUUUGGCUUCAGUAUUUAAACCUUGAAAUUGAUUGCCAUGCAAUAUAAAGCAAGUAUCAGGAGAAAGGGUAUGGGGAUGUGGUGCCACAAAUGGUGUUUUGGACUUUGUCAAAGCACAACCCGGAGAAGCUGGUAGCACCUAGUACACAACCGGGGUGUUCAUUCUCAUGGCUUCUGCAACAAUCUGCUCAAACUCUUCGUCGACAAUGAAGGCGAAAUUGGCCCCGACCAUCUCACGGAAUUAGCCAUCUUCGAUGAAUCUUAUCAAGCUCUCGAUAUAGUGGACUCAGAUUUAUUGUAAUUGGAUUAUUAUUAAUUAUAUUUUCUUUUUAAUUAGUGCUGCUCUUAGCUUAAUUAUCUUGAGUUAGUUGGGCAGUACCAACCGCCAAGGUUGAAAGAUUUGUUAACAGUUAAUUAUUUUUGUACUGCUAAAACAUCUUAUAAUUGUUAUCA